CUACGGAGGGUGCAAGCGUUACUCGGAAUUACUGGGCGUAAAGCGCGCGUAGGCGGAUUGAUCAGUCAGGGGUGAAAUCCCGGAGCUUAACUCCGGAACUGCCUUUGAUACUGUCAAUCUUGAGUUCGAGAGAGGUGAGUGGAAUUCCUAGUGUAGAGGUGAAAUUCGUAGAUAUUAGGAAGAACACCAGUGGCGAAGGCGGCUCACUGGCUCGAUACUGACGCUGAGGUGCGAAAGCGUGGGGAGCAAACAGGAUGAGAAACCCUAGUAGUCC
Molecule: ribosomal RNA, 274 nt
Filed under: uncultured bacterium
Lineage: Bacteria
Description: partial 16S ribosomal RNA
Rfam family: Bacterial small subunit ribosomal RNA
Source: RNAcentral